Long non-coding RNA from Salvelinus fontinalis (brook trout), 522 nucleotides. RefSeq lists it as uncharacterized. The transcript has 3 exons. NCBI's taxonomy places the organism in Eukaryota, Metazoa, Chordata, Actinopteri, Salmoniformes, Salmonidae. The record is from RefSeq and is a predicted model, not a curated record.
UAUAACAAAAACCUUAUGUCUUCACAUUGCUGACAAGGUGAAGACUUGUUUUUAUUUUGGGUGUACUGUGCCUUUAACCCUAUCGUCUUGUCCCCAGUGAGCAGAGGCCCAAUCCAAAGGAGGAAAGUAUCUAUGGCAACUGGAUCAGUACCAUGACAACCAUAUGCGAUGACCUCAUUACAGACUCCCAAGGCAACAGCAAGAUCAACGACAUACAGGCCUCCAAGUCUACUCCUGUGAACGCCCUCUCUGAUGAGGCAGCCAAGGUGGUGUACCAGAUGAAGAGGGCCAGCAGUGUGGACCAGAGCAAGGGGAAACAGACAGACAUGGUGGCUCUGUGAGGAGCAGGACCACAGCAGUCACAGGUGGCAAAAUCGUCAGACAUCUUGGAUCCACAGGAGCCAGCUGCAGCAUCAACAUUUGCCAAAACUGGCAGCCAUGUUAGAGACUGGACACUCACUCAAACAACUCCAAGUGUACUACCUAAAUAUUAAAUAAAGACGUGUCAUAUAAAUGGUCCAA